RNAcentral lists this ribosomal RNA (314 nucleotides) under uncultured bacterium. RNAcentral describes it as "bacterial SSU rRNA". It matches the Rfam family "Bacterial small subunit ribosomal RNA", at positions 355 to 661 of the family's 1533-position model. The record is from RNAcentral.
UGGGGAAUAUUGGACAAUGGGUGCAACCCUGAUCCAGCGACGCCGCGUGUGUGAAGAAGGCCUGCGGGUUGUAAAGCACUUUUAGUGGGGAGGAAGGCCGCCGACCUAAUACGUCGGAGGAUUGACUUAACCCACAGAAAAAGCACCGGCUAACUCUGUGCCAGCAGCCGCGGUAAUACAGAGGGUGCGAGCGCUAUUCGGAAUUACUGGGCGUAAAGCGUGCGUAGGCGGUUUCGUAAGUCGGGUGUGAAAGCCCCGGGCUCAAGCUGGGAAUGGCAUUCGAGACUGCAGAGCUGGAGUGCGGAAGAGGGAAG